RNAcentral lists this ribosomal RNA (298 nucleotides) under uncultured bacterium. RNAcentral describes it as "partial 16S ribosomal RNA". It matches the Rfam family "Bacterial small subunit ribosomal RNA", at positions 335 to 650 of the family's 1533-position model. The record is from RNAcentral.
GGGCCUACGGGACGCAGCAGUGGGGAAUAUUGCACAAUGGGGGAAACCCUGAUGCAGCGACGCCGCGUGGGUGAAGAAGUACUUCGGUACGUAAAGCCCUAUCAGCAGGGAAGAAAAUGACGGUACCUGAUUAAGAAGCCCCGGCUAACUACGUGCCAGCAGCCGCGGUAAUACGUAGGGGGCAAGCGUUAUCCGGAUUUACUGGGUGUAAAGGGAGCGUAGACGGCAUUACAAGUACGGAGUGAAAGCCCACGGUCCAACCGUGGGACUGCUAUGGAAAAUGUAGAGAUGGAGUGCG